GUACUGAUGAAGAGUCCCAAACUAGGACGAAACAGCCGUCCACUAC
This 46-nucleotide non-coding RNA is filed under the name Trichobilharzia regenti. The record is from RNAcentral. Lineage: Eukaryota; Metazoa; Platyhelminthes; Trematoda; Strigeidida; Schistosomatidae.